Molecule: ribosomal RNA, 780 nt
Filed under: uncultured Neocallimastigales
Lineage: Eukaryota; Fungi; Neocallimastigomycota; Neocallimastigomycetes; Neocallimastigales
Description: partial large subunit ribosomal RNA
Rfam family: Eukaryotic large subunit ribosomal RNA
Source: RNAcentral
CAUAGCGACUAUCGUGGCAUAUCAAUAAGCGGAGGAAAAGAAACUAACAAGGAUUCCCUUAGUAACGGCGAGUGAAGCGGGAAGAGCUCAAAUUUGAAAUCUUCAAGGUUCUACCUUGACGAAUUGUAGUUUAAAGAAGUGUUUUCUGUUGGAGUUUUGGUAAAAGUUCUUUGGAAUAGGACAUCAUAGAGGGUGAGAAUCCCGUAUUUGACCAUUAUUUCCAACUUUGUGAUACACUUUCAAAGAGUCGGAUUGUUUGGGAAUGCAGUCCAAAAUGGGUGGUAAAUUUCAUCUAAAGCUAAAUACUGGCGAGAGACCGAUAGCGAACAAGUACCGUGAGGGAAAGAUGAAAAGAACUUUGAAAAGAGAGUUAAACAGUACGUGAAAUUGUCAAAAGGGAAGCGUUUGACACCAGUGUUGUUUUCUCGAAAAUCAAUUAAAAAUGGAUGGGAUGUUGUGUUGUAUUGACUUUAUCCAGCUUUCUGCACUCUUUUUCCUUAUCUUUUUUAAUGCACUUUUCGUUUAACAAGUCAACAUCAAUUUCUUUUGUUGUAAAAGAGUCAUUGGAAGGUGGCUUUUCUUUCGGAGAAAAGUGUUUAUAGCCUUUGGCUUCUGCAAUCGGAGAGAUUGAGGUCUGCAGCGUAGAUCCUUCGGGGUUAGAUGCAUUUGUGCUAAGCUAUAGUUCCUUUAUAGACAACUUGUUGACUAUGAUCAGUCCUGUAGCUUACUCGCUUAUGCUAUUUUACCUACGCUUAGGAUGUUGAAGAUAUGCGCGACACG